UGUGGAAAGACCGUUGGGACUUGGGAUUCUGGCCUCUGAGGCCUGAAACCUGCGCUCAGUGCACCAUCCCGGGGCCUUGUCUGCCUCUCAGUGGCUUCAGUGCUGUCUGGCUGAGCCAGCUGGAGGGGGAAAGCAAUUAUUCUCGUCUCAGAGGCAGCGGAUAGCGACCCUGGUUUCCCUCAUGGGACAACGAUAAAGUCCACCCAGAAACGCUUCAGUGAAGGCAGCUCAGCUUGCUGUGACCGUGGGAGUGUGAAUGCAGCCUUUACUCUCAAACUGUGUGCUUGAGUUUGCCUCAUCUGUGGAAACUGCGGAAGUGAGCAGAUCAGAGAGUAGUGGAUGGGCCUCUCCAUGGGAAAGCCACUCUGUGAUGACACUGGUUCCCCUGCAAGGACCCAGAGCAUCCUCCAGAUCCUCACUGUGAGAACUAUCCAGGCGGGUUGAGCUUGACAGGAGGUCAGCAAUAUAGCAGCAUUGCAGAACAGCCUCCUGCAGGUUUCUGAUCCAGGUAGCUUCUAC
This is a long non-coding RNA of Mesocricetus auratus (golden hamster), 519 nucleotides long. RefSeq lists it as uncharacterized. The transcript has 3 exons. Lineage: Eukaryota; Metazoa; Chordata; Mammalia; Rodentia; Cricetidae. The record is from RefSeq and is a predicted model, not a curated record.